UACAGAGGGGGCAAGCGUUGUUCGGAAUUACUGGGCGUAAAGGGCUCGUAGGCGGCCAACUAAGUCAGACGUGAAAUCCCUCGGCUUAACCGGGGAACUGCGUCUGAUACUGGUUGGCUUGAAUCCGGGAGAGGGAUGUGGAAUUCCUGGUGUAGCGGUGAAAUGCGCAGAUAUCAGGAGGAACACCGGUGGCGAAGGCGGGUCUCUGGGCCGAUACUGACGCUGAGGAGCGAAAGCGUGGGGAGCGAACAGG
This 253-nucleotide ribosomal RNA is filed under the name uncultured bacterium. RNAcentral's name for it is "partial 16S ribosomal RNA". It matches the Rfam family "Bacterial small subunit ribosomal RNA", at positions 524 to 776 of the family's 1533-position model. The record is from RNAcentral.